UACGUAGGGUCCAAGCGUUAUCCGGAAUCACUGGGCGUAAAGCGUGCGUAGGCGGGUAUUUAAGUGAGAUGUGAAAGCGUGUGGCUCAACCAUAUCGUUGUGUCUCAUACUGGGUACCUAGAGGAAGGCAGAGGCAAGUGGAAUUGGCAGUGUAGCAGUGAAAUGCGUAGAGAUUGCCAGGAACACCAAUGGCGAAGGCAGCUUGCUGGGCCUUUUCUGACGCUGAGGUACGAAAGCGUGGGGAGCGAACAGG
RNAcentral lists this ribosomal RNA (253 nucleotides) under uncultured bacterium. Its description in RNAcentral is "partial 16S ribosomal RNA". It matches the Rfam family "Bacterial small subunit ribosomal RNA", at positions 524 to 776 of the family's 1533-position model. The record is from RNAcentral.